CGGGAACUCAAAGGAGACUGCCAGUGAUAAACUGGAGGAAGGUGGGGAUGACGUCAAGUCAUCAUGGCCCUUACGAGUAGGGCUACACACGUGCUACAAUGGCAUAUACAAAGAGAAGCGACCUCGCGAGAGCAAGCGGACCUCAUAAAGUAUGUCGUAGUCCGGAUUGGAGUCUGCAACUCGACUCCAUGAAGUCGGAAUCGCUAGUAAUCGUGGAUCAGAAUGCCACGGUGAAUACGUUCCCGGGCCUUGUACACACCGCCCGUCACACCAUGGGAGUGGGUUGCAAAAGAAGUAGGUAGCUUAACCUUCGGGAGGGCGCUUACCACUUUGUGAUUCAUGACUGGGGUGAAGUCGUAACAAGGUAACCGUAGGGGAACCUGCGGUUGGAUCACCUCCUUA
This 402-nucleotide ribosomal RNA is filed under the name Citrobacter freundii. RNAcentral's name for it is "bacterial SSU rRNA". It matches the Rfam family "Bacterial small subunit ribosomal RNA", at positions 1132 to 1533 of the family's 1533-position model. Lineage: Bacteria; Pseudomonadati; Pseudomonadota; Gammaproteobacteria; Enterobacterales; Enterobacteriaceae. The record is from RNAcentral. RNAcentral also lists the same sequence under 16 other names.